Molecule: long non-coding RNA, 1189 nt
Filed under: Phascolarctos cinereus (koala)
Lineage: Eukaryota; Metazoa; Chordata; Mammalia; Diprotodontia; Phascolarctidae
Description: lncRNA (ENSPCIG00000032969.1)
Source: RNAcentral
CUUAUCUCUUUUACCUCCCCCUUUUCUCCCUAACAUUUCUUUUUUCCUUUUCCCUCUCUGCCUUCUCCCCUCAGGCUCCCUUCGCCAAACGUACACCUGGGUCCGCCAAGCUAUACUCCCGGGACUGCACAUAAUGGGGAUGCAGAGCCCAUGCAACAACAGAGUUGGAAGGAACUUUAUAGACUAGAAAAUCUAGUCCAACGCCUUCCUAUGACUAUCUUGGCCCAGUGUGACACUGGGGCCAAAGCUAGUGAGGUCCAAAGUUGAGGAACACCCAAGUCUAAUAGACCCAAAGCACAAAAUAUAGUCGUCUCCAACAUUCUUCGGCUUCUCCCGGGGGAAAGCCAGGAAAAAAGAACGAGAGUGAAAGGGAGAGAAAAGAAAAGAGAGGGAGGAAAGCUAGAGAGAGAUCGAGGAGGGGGAAAAGAGAGGAGGAAGAAGGGGGGAAAGGAGAAACUUGCAAUGAGGGGACAGUAGGGAAAAAGGGGAAGAGAGGUAGAAGGGGAAGUGGGGAGAGGAGGAGAGGGAAAGAAAGAGGAAAGAGGGAAAAGAGAAAGGAGAGGGAGGAGUGAGGAAGCGAGUUCUUGGCCAGCUCCUAAGACAGCUUCCUUUAAGGUGCCGCAUUUGGGUUAAGGCCGGAACCGCAGCGGCAGCCUCCGCCUCCACCCCCCCACUCCGCAGCAGCCGCUCUGGGCUCGUUUGACUGCCCGCAAAGUCGGUCCCCCAUCCCCCAGGUUUUCCGGACUGGCUCCAGAUUCUACGUCAAAGAUCCUGGGGUCCCAGAAGGAGUUGCAGAGUGGAACCUCAGGUGCUGCUUGGAGUAGAGACCCUGACCUAGGAGUGCCGGUGCCAGCCUCCCUGGAGCAGCGUAGAGAGAAGUGCGGACCUGGGGACCCAUCUGUGUCGGAGGGCAUUCUAGAAGCCCAAGGUUUGAGGUAUGGACAGCUCCCCAACCGCACAAACAGGGUACCCAUCAGCCGGAAGAGUUGGGCAGCUGGAGCCUCAGAGAUUCAGCAAGGGUCCUGUGGGAAUCUCUAAGAAGAGAUUUCUGUCUCAACUCCAAGAAUGACGCUGAAUCCCACAUUCCUGGAGGGGUAAUACCAGCCCAACUGAAAGAGGUCAGAACAAGAACUCUUCCGACUCAAAGAUUUGUGUCCAAAUUGAUUUGCUACUGCAUACGUUCUUUUCU